GGAAUUUGUAUGUAUACAAUCUGCAAUAUUUUGCAAUAUCUUUUUUUUGCUCUUUGUGUGUGGAAUUGUAUUGGUGGGAAUAAGAGCAUUGAAAAGUUGAAAGCUCAAGAGAAUAAAUCGACUCUCAGUGUCGGUUGGUGAUGGAGAUAUUUUACCCGCGUUUUGCAGCUAGAGACGUCGGUUAAUCGUUCGAUUAAUUCAAAUAAUCGAAUAUCUGUAACAGUAAUUUUAUACCAAAUAAUGAAAAAUCAAGAAAAUACAGUGCAAAAUUUGUUUAACCGUCAUGGUGUUUCGUCGAAAUUCAUAGAAUAUGCUAAAUCAUUUACGGUAGAAGCUUGAUUCCUAGGUGGUGGAGGAGACUGGGAAGAAGAAUUCAGGGUCUGCAGGAGUAAAAUGCGGACUUGAAGAAGGUAGUCUCAUCUCCCGUUCUAAAAUAGUAGUAUUCAAAUUCAGAGCGCCGAGAAAAAAAUACCAUACUAGUGAUCAAUGAUUCUAUGACCAAGCAGGGAUAUUCAAACAAAUCAGCUAAAAUUUUUAUUUUUUUUUCAUGCGAGAAAGGUAUUUUCUGACUUUGAGGGGGUGAAUCAAAAAUCAAAUUCCUCUUUUAUAUUCAAGAAAUGAAAAAUACAUACAAAAAACAGGAAGUGGGUUAUAUCUAUGGUAUAACCGCAAGGGUGA
This is a long non-coding RNA of Toxorhynchites rutilus septentrionalis, 678 nucleotides long. RefSeq lists it as uncharacterized. The record is from RefSeq and is a predicted model, not a curated record. NCBI's taxonomy places the organism in Eukaryota, Metazoa, Arthropoda, Insecta, Diptera, Culicidae. The transcript is spliced from 3 exons.